Molecule: long non-coding RNA, 1202 nt
Organism: Astatotilapia calliptera (eastern happy)
Lineage: Eukaryota; Metazoa; Chordata; Actinopteri; Cichliformes; Cichlidae
Source: Ensembl
UUUCCUUUUCACAAAGUACUAUGUGUGUACGCUUGUGCGCUUCAAGUGCUUGCACAAUGCUUGCAUUUCACUGAGAGCCGAGGGGAAAACACUUGAUUUUAAAUUGUUUCUUUUUUUUUUUAACAGUUGAAACAUUGCUUGUGGCUAACACACAUACGUAGGCUUGACUUAAAGGAAUAACAGUUCUCGGCAUUGACGGAAAACACCUGACCUAACCUCUGCAUUGGGAAUCAAUGUGUUGCAUUCCAAAGACUCGAGUGGAAGACUGUUGUGUGAAAUUAGACAAGAUGUCACACUGCUGUUCCUUUGACACAAGUCUGUCAAAGACAACAACACGGGGCAACUACAUUAUUAUACUGCUGCUGGGCAUGACGUCCUAUUAUCACGUAUUAACUAUUUGACCCCUUGUUGCACUAUAUCUAAAAGUGAAUGCUUUACAUUACAAGAGGAUAGACAGGGUGCAGAAACGAUGUAUUCGAUCUGAAGCGAAUACUACAAACGUGGAACUGUUGCCGUUCACGGUUAUAUGACAGCGGGCGUUACUGACACUUUCUUCUCGCUCUGAGCUACUAUGUCCCCUGUCUGAGAAUGACGACAAAUCAGUGUGACUCAUCAAUAAGAGGAAAACAAGAGGAACUCGAAGCAGAGGUUGUAAAUGAUGGUUAGAGUUGCCAUUAUGUGCUGUAAAUGUCCAUCAUUUCUUUGUUUUCUUUCAUUUUUUUCUCUCUCCUUUGGUUAUGAAUAUGAUUAUUAAGAUGUAAGAAUACUGUAGUAUCAUAAGUGAAUCAUUCUUCCUUGCUAGGCAUAGAACUUGCUUGUGAUUGAUAAUGGCAAUGUAAAACUUGUAAAAAAGCAAAACGAUUAAAAAACACGAAAAACAGACGAAAAGAAGAUUUAAAAAAAACAAAAUCUGUUACCAGUCGGAGGCCAAGGUAAAGAACUCUCAUUUCUUUGUGUUUUUUAUUUUUUUAUUAGCAAUUUAUCACUGUGUGAUAUUUUGUACAUCAUAUUAAGCUGUAUUCAAACAAUUUCCUCCAACUACAAGGGAUAAGAGACCUGCUUUUUAUUAAUUUUGUUUUAUUAUAUAUUUUUGAACUGCAUUUUAGCUUGUAUCAAAUGACUUUUCUCUUUUUGUUUACGGGUCCCCUGUUGUAUGUCAUUAAGGAAGAAAAGACAAAAAAAUGAAAAUUUUGUACAGUGAA